Molecule: transfer RNA, 72 nt
Filed under: Dreissena polymorpha
Lineage: Eukaryota; Metazoa; Mollusca; Bivalvia; Myida; Dreissenidae
Rfam family: tRNA
About the family: Transfer RNA (tRNA) molecules are approximately 80 nucleotides in length. Their secondary structure includes four short double-helical elements and three loops (D, anti-codon, and T loops).
Source: Rfam by way of RNAcentral
GGUUCAAUGGUGUAAUCGUUAGCACUCAAGACUCUGAAUCUUGCGAUCCGAGAUCAAAUCUCGGUUGAACCU